RNAcentral lists this ribosomal RNA (395 nucleotides) under uncultured bacterium. RNAcentral's name for it is "partial 16S ribosomal RNA". It matches the Rfam family "Bacterial small subunit ribosomal RNA", at positions 338 to 730 of the family's 1533-position model. The record is from RNAcentral.
CCUACGGGGGGCAGCAGUGAGGAAUAUUGGUCAAUGGCCGGAAGGCUGAACCAGCCAUGCCGCGUGAAGGUCAGUGCCCUAUGGGCGUUAAACUUCUUUUGUGCGGGAGCAAUAAUGGUCACGUGUGGCCAGACGAGAGUACCGUACGAAUAAGCAUCGGCUCACUCUGUGCCAGCAGCCGCGGUCAUACGGGGGAUGCAAGCGUUAUCCGGAGUUAUUGGGUGUAAAGGGUGCGUAGGCUGGGAGGUAAGUCAGCGGGGAAAUGCCCCCGCGCAACGGGGUGAAGUGCCAUUGAUACUGGCUAGCUGGAGUGCGGGUGCGGUGGGAGGAAUGUGUGGUGUAGCGGUGAAAUGCAUAGAUAUCACACAGAACACCGAUUGCGAAGGCAUCUCACG